UACGUAGGGGGCAAGCGUUGUCCGGAAUCAUUGGGCGUAAAGAGCGUGUAGGCGGCCCGGUAAGUCCGCUGUGAAAGUCGGGGGCUCAACCCUCGAAUGCCGGUGGAUACUGUCGGGCUAGAGUGCGGAAGAGGCGAGUGGAAUUCCUGGUGUAGCGGUGAAAUGCGCAGAUAUCAGGAGGAACACCGAUUGCGAAGGCAGCUCGCUGGGACGUAACUGACGCUGAGGAGCGAAAGCGUGGGGAGCGAACAGG
RNAcentral lists this ribosomal RNA (253 nucleotides) under uncultured bacterium. RNAcentral's name for it is "partial 16S ribosomal RNA". It matches the Rfam family "Bacterial small subunit ribosomal RNA", at positions 524 to 776 of the family's 1533-position model. The record is from RNAcentral.